CCCGGUUCACGUGACUGGCGCCUCGGGAUGGAUCACCAUCGGGGAGCGUGAACCGUCGAGAGCCGCGCGCCUGGGCACUUCAU
Molecule: non-coding RNA, 83 nt
Filed under: Caballeronia choica
Lineage: Bacteria; Pseudomonadati; Pseudomonadota; Betaproteobacteria; Burkholderiales; Burkholderiaceae
Description: Burkholderia choica ZTP sequence
Rfam family: ZMP/ZTP riboswitch aptamer (pfl RNA motif)
About the family: Previously known as pfl RNA. ZMP is also known as AICAR.
Source: RNAcentral